Molecule: long non-coding RNA, 223 nt
Filed under: Vigna radiata
Lineage: Eukaryota; Viridiplantae; Streptophyta; Magnoliopsida; Fabales; Fabaceae
Description: long non-coding RNA (VRAD_LNC010323)
Source: RNAcentral
GGCAAGAACAAUUUCAUAUUAUAGCUUAAUGGUAACUUAGUUAAUUUAACUUCUAUCUCUAAAAUAAUUAAUAUACAAUACAAUUUCAUCAUCACAUCACAUAAUUUUUUUUCUUUUUUUUAAAAGAUAUAGUUUAUCAAGUGAUUUUUUAGUUUAAUUAUCUUAGUUGUAUUUUUUUUUCACAGAUUUAGAUUCGUAUUUGUGUUCUGAUGCUGAUAUAGAG